Long non-coding RNA from Vombatus ursinus (common wombat), 496 nucleotides. RefSeq lists it as uncharacterized. NCBI's taxonomy places the organism in Eukaryota, Metazoa, Chordata, Mammalia, Diprotodontia, Vombatidae. The transcript has 3 exons. The record is from RefSeq and is a predicted model, not a curated record.
AAGAUUGUGGUAGCUAUCUGCCAACUCAGAGAGACAGCAGCAGAGUCUCCACAAGUGAAGCAGCUUGUUUACAAAGUGCUCACAGUAGGAAAGAGCUUCUUGUAAACACUUCGGGAAAUAGCAAAUGGCGUGUGCACACGUCCAUAGCCCUGAAAGCUGCAUCUGCUGAGCACCUCAAGCCUCUUUGGAGUCCACCCAGAGAGCCCCAGGAGCGUCUGGACUGUCCCAGUGGUGACCCUAUUCAAUAUGGCCAGGCAUCAGGUGAUACUUCUCCUUCAAGGAUUUUCAGAGUCACUUUUCAGAUGGGUACCUGGACAGCAGCUCGAACAGCCUGCCUGGGACUGUAGCUUGGAGCCUACAAUUCCCAGGACGCUGAGGUUCCUCGGACCAGCUGAGCCAGGCUGUGGUGAGGUACAUAUACCAAAGAAGUCAACAUAGGAAAAAAGGCCUCUUCUGCAUCUAAAUAUUGAUGGAGCAUUGUAGGAGCAAGAAAUAC